Salmonella enterica subsp. enterica serovar Typhimurium is the source of this 159-nucleotide small RNA. It matches the Rfam family "Salmonella enterica sRNA STnc300". NCBI's taxonomy places the organism in Bacteria, Pseudomonadati, Pseudomonadota, Gammaproteobacteria, Enterobacterales, Enterobacteriaceae. The record is from Rfam.
UUUUUUAUAACAUCUUGAAAAUAAAUGAUUUUAAUUUAAAUCCUGUCUGGUUUUCUAAAAAAUAAUUUAAAAUUAUUAAUAUGAUUUUUUUCUGUCGCGGUUGACUCAUCUCCUGAAAAUGCCGUGAGUUCUCGUCCUUCAGGACGAUAUUCUUUUGAG